Triticum urartu is the source of this 1076-nucleotide RNA transcript. RefSeq lists it as uncharacterized. The record is from RefSeq and is a predicted model, not a curated record. NCBI's taxonomy places the organism in Eukaryota, Viridiplantae, Streptophyta, Magnoliopsida, Poales, Poaceae.
GCUCCACUUCCUCUCCCCACGAUGUCCACAAGAAACUGACGGGUUCCCUUUUAAAGUUGCUGCCCCACUCAUUUUAUUCCCAUCGUCCUCCCAUAUGGAUGGAUGUCUGCCAUACGACGCUCAUACUGCUGCCAGUGCCUUCCAUUUAAAUCCUUCGGGUUUCUUCUCGGCUACCUUGGGAUCGAGCUGCUGUUUUCUUACUGAAGAUUACUCCCCACACACUCUCCAAUAUGAAGGCACGCUCCAAUCUGAAGGUAUAUGCAAAUUCAAAUGUUUUAUGGCGAAGCAUGUUGGCUCGCUUCCUUUUUUAUUGAGGUUCCACAAUAGUUCUUCUACACUUCCCUCUGUGUAAUUGUUCCAUGUAGAUUUUAGGUAAAGAACACAAACUAUGGAUGCAUUAAUCGAUUAUUCUCGAGUUUCUUUUGUUUGGUCGACAAAGAAUCACUGAAACUUAAUAGUGUGCUGGAGAUUACGAAUAGAUAGAAAUUGUGAAGAUAAACUUUUCAUGCUACUUUUCCCAUUUUAUUUGCUUUUAGGCACAGUGAAGAGUUUCCUGGUGUCACAAGCUUACUCCAAAUAUCACAUAUACAAGUGUGUAAAGACUAUCUAGCACAUGCUCAUCGGUGCUUCCGUCGGACUGCGCAUCAUGGGGUCGAAGCCUCCUGAUCGAGGUGCAUGCUUCAAGAUAAAUCAACCUUGCGGUCAUGGUGAUGUUGAACUCUCCCUUCAUCUCCAUCUGAUGCAUCACACAGCUGGCUCUACGGUUAUUAUGAUGUUUUCUGUUUCUCCAUCUCGCUGCCAGCUUGCAGCCUAAGCUUUACAUAAUGCAGAAGCAUGCAUAGUUGCGCAUCAGAGAAGGCAAAAAUAAUAAUAAUCAGAGGUGCCUAGGUAUACUAUCAUGAAAGACAACCCAAAAUAAAUAGCAGUAUGUUGCACAAAAUUGUUCCGCUGAGAAGACUAAAAAGUGAGUCUCUUGAUUUAUAGGUGACCCUUUUAUUAUAGAAAAUCAGAUUAUGUGUAAACCCAUGUUUUAUAUAAUUUUUCAAUGGAAUGCACAACAAUAGUUUCUACUAUUA